UGGUCUUGUUUAGUCUUGAGAGGUCUUGUGGGGCCUUAGCUCAGCUGGGAGAGCGCCUGCUUUGCACGCAGGAGGUCAGCGGUUCGAUCCCGCUAGGCUCCAUUGGUGAGAGAUCACCAAGUAAUGCACAUUGAAAAUUGAAUAUCUAUAUCAAAUAGUAACAAGAAAAUAAACCGAAACGCUGUAGUAUUAAAAGAGUUUAUGACUGAAAGGUCAAAAAUAAGGUUAAGUUAAUAAGGGCGCACGGUGGAUGCCUUGGCACUACGAGCCGAACAAGGACGUGACAGACGACGAUCUGCCUUGGGUAGCUGUAAGUAAGCGAUGAUCCAAGGAUUUCCGAAUGGGGGAACCCAACAGGUACUACCUGUUACCCAUAUCUGUUAAGGAUGUGAGGAGGAAGACGCAAUGAACUGAAGCAUCUGAAUAGCUGCAGAAGGACAAAACAAAAGCGAUUGCCUUAGUAGCGCGGAGCGAACA
This 477-nucleotide ribosomal RNA is filed under the name Streptococcus oralis. Its description in RNAcentral is "partial 16S ribosomal RNA". The stretch from base 224 to 477 matches the Rfam family "Bacterial large subunit ribosomal RNA", at positions 1 to 259 of the family's 2925-position model. Lineage: Bacteria; Bacillati; Bacillota; Bacilli; Lactobacillales; Streptococcaceae. The record is from RNAcentral.